GCAGAGCAUGGGAAACUGAAAAGUCCUUGGCUUAAGAUAAGUGCUACUUAGCAACAACUAAAACAUCAGGGUGUUAUCAACAGUAUUGUCACACUAAAUCCAAAACACACACUGUACCAGCUAUUAAGAGAGUUAACUCUGUCCCAGCCGAAACCAGGAUACUCAGCAUGUAUCUUUUGCUUUGGUUUUUUUCAGAUGCUGCAAGAGGCUCAGAGGGGCGAAGCUGCGUGCUGAGGAGCGGUCCGAGAAGGCGCCAUACAGGCAGCCUUUGGAACUGGAUGAGCCUUUGAGGUGCCACGAGCGAUGACGGCCGCAGCGUCCGACGCUGGAAUUCCUGCAGAGCAGAUGAUGAAGAGGAACCUGGCAACUGCAGGAAUAUCCUGGUUCACUGAUGUGUUUUUUGCUGAGGAUGGAUUCAGACCCCUGCCGUCUGACAGCUAAGUUGAGGGACUGGAGACCACUGCCCUACAGUGUGUAAUUUUGACUUCAGUUGGAAAGAAAUUGUCCAAAGCGGAAAUCUUUCUCGUUCAAAGAAGUUGCAUUUUAUUGAACUUCCCAUCAGAGUGGCUCUUCAGAGGUGAUGUAAUUGUCAGUAGAAGUCACCAGCAGCAAGACUUUUCACUCUCUAAAAAAAAAAAAAAAAAAAAAAAAAAAAAAAAUUUACUUCCUUCCAAAGACCCAAGCACAACAAGUCUUCCAAAAGUCGAUGGCAUUGCUGGUCUUUGGGUUCUCAGUUGUAACAGUUGAGAUAUCA
Molecule: long non-coding RNA, 754 nt
Organism: Gymnogyps californianus (California condor)
Lineage: Eukaryota; Metazoa; Chordata; Aves; Accipitriformes; Cathartidae
Exons: 4
Source: RefSeq, a predicted model, not a curated record